ACGAACGCUGGCGGCGUGCUUCACACCUGCAGGUCGCACGGAAAGGCCCUGCUUUUGUGGGGUGCUCGAGUGGCGAACGGGUGAGUAACACGUGAGUAACCUGCCCUUGACUUUGGGAUAACUUCAGGAAACUGGGGCUAAUACCGGAUAGGAGCUCCUGCUGCAUGGUGGGGGUUGGAAAGUUUCGGCGGUUGGGGAUGGACUCGCGGCUUAUCAGCUUGUUGGUGGGGUAGUGGCUUACCAAGGCUUUGACGGGUAGCCGGCCUGAGAGGGUGACCGGCCACAUUGGGACUGAGAUACGGCCCAGACUCCUACGGGAGGCAGCAGUGGGGAAUAUUGCACAAUGGGCGGAAGCCUGAUGCAGCAACGCCGCGUGCGGGAUGACGGCCUUCGGGUUGUAAACCGCUUUCGCCUGUGACGAAGCGUGAGUGACGGUAAUGGGUAAAGAAGCACCGGCUAACUACGUG
This 467-nucleotide ribosomal RNA is filed under the name uncultured bacterium. RNAcentral's name for it is "partial 16S ribosomal RNA". It matches the Rfam family "Bacterial small subunit ribosomal RNA", at positions 29 to 507 of the family's 1533-position model. The record is from RNAcentral.